Molecule: ribosomal RNA, 301 nt
Filed under: uncultured bacterium
Lineage: Bacteria
Description: partial 16S ribosomal RNA
Rfam family: Bacterial small subunit ribosomal RNA
Source: RNAcentral
CAGUCGCCGCGGGAAUACGGAGGGGGCUAGCGUUGUUCGGAAUUACUGGGCGUAAAGCGCACGUAGGCGGCUUGGUAAGUUAGAGGUGAAAGCCUGGAGCUCAACUCCAGAAUUGCCUUUAAGACUGCCGAGCUAGCAGGUGAGAGAGGUAAGUGGAAUUCCGAGUGUAGAGGUGAAAUUCGUAGAUAUUCGGAAGAACACCAGUGGCGAAGGCGGCUUACUGGCUCAUACUGGACGCUGAGGUGCGGAAGCGUGGGGAGCAAACAGGAUUAGAUACCCGAGUAGUCCCUGUCUCUUAUAC